UACUUAUUCAGAGUAAAAGAUAGCUAACAUUAUGGAUCGUGUUAGUGGUACUUUCAAGCAAACUAUUUGAAACAGCAAAAAUCAAAAAAUUACUAGGUUAAAGCAUAAUUAAUUUGGUUUGAUAAUUUUUUUACCUAAAACAGAUUAAUAGAUUCGUUUAUCUGAGGUAACACACUAUAUACCAGAAAUUAAAAUGAAUGUAAAAUUUCUAACUUGCUUAAUUGCAUUUAUUCUGAUCUUCUUGAACUCGUCAGUUAUGGCAUUUAAUGCCAAUGGAUAUAAAGAAGUGCCUCGUGAAUCUAUGGAUCUGGAGAAGUUUGAGGACCUGUUUGAAGAGAACCAGAUUUGAUCAAAUGAACAUUGAACAAUGAAAAGAGGAGAGCAACGUGUUUUGUGUACUGUUAAAUAUAAUACACCGAUAAUUGUUGUGUGAUUCAUAUUAA
Long non-coding RNA from Styela clava, 443 nucleotides. RefSeq lists it as uncharacterized. Lineage: Eukaryota; Metazoa; Chordata; Ascidiacea; Stolidobranchia; Styelidae. The record is from RefSeq and is a predicted model, not a curated record.